GACAGAGGUGCCGAGCGUUAGGCGGAAUCACUGGGCUUAAAGCGUGUGUAGGCGGGCGGGCAAGUACCUUGUGAAAUCCCACGGCUCAACCGUGGAACGGCUGGGUAUACUGCCUGUCUUGAGCCAACUAGGGGCGAGCGGAACAGACGGUGGAGCGGUGAAAUGCGUAGAUAUCGUCUGGAACGCCAAAGGUGAAAACAGCUCGCUGGGGUUGUGCUGACGCUGAGACACGAAAGCCAGGGGAGCGAACGGGG
Molecule: ribosomal RNA, 254 nt
Filed under: uncultured bacterium
Lineage: Bacteria
Description: partial 16S ribosomal RNA
Rfam family: Bacterial small subunit ribosomal RNA
Source: RNAcentral